This 585-nucleotide ribosomal RNA is filed under the name Salmonella enterica subsp. enterica serovar Enteritidis. Its description in RNAcentral is "bacterial SSU rRNA". It matches the Rfam family "Bacterial small subunit ribosomal RNA", at positions 74 to 659 of the family's 1533-position model. Lineage: Bacteria; Pseudomonadati; Pseudomonadota; Gammaproteobacteria; Enterobacterales; Enterobacteriaceae. The record is from RNAcentral.
UCUAGCUUGCUAGAGAUGAUUAGUGGCGGACGGGUGAGUAACAUUUAGGAAUCUGCCUAGUAGUGGGGGAUAGCUCGGGGAAACUCGAAUUAAUACCGCAUACGACCUACGGGUGAAAGGGGGCGCAAGCUCUUGCUAUUAGAUGAGCCUAAAUCAGAUUAGCUAGUUGGUGGGGUAAAGGCCCACCAAGGCGACGAUCUGUAACUGGUCUGAGAGGAUGAUCAGUCACACCGGAACUGAGACACGGUCCGGACUCCUACGGGAGGCAGCAGUGGGGAAUAUUGGACAAUGGGGGCAACCCUGAUCCAGCCAUGCCGCGUGUGUGAAGAAGGCCUUUUGGUUGUAAAGCACUUUAAGCAGGGAGGAGAGGCUAAUGGUUAAUACCCAUUAGAUUAGACGUUACCUGCAGAAUAAGCACCGGCUAACUCUGUGCCAGCAGCCGCGGUAAUACAGAGGGUGCGAGCGUUAAUCGGAAUUACUGGGCGUAAAGCGAGUGUAGGUGGCUCAUUAAGUCACAUGUGAAAUCCCCGGGCUUAACCUGGGAACUGCAUGUGAUACUGGUGGUGCUAGAAUAUGUGAGAGGGA